This 253-nucleotide ribosomal RNA is filed under the name uncultured bacterium. Its description in RNAcentral is "partial 16S ribosomal RNA". It matches the Rfam family "Bacterial small subunit ribosomal RNA", at positions 524 to 776 of the family's 1533-position model. The record is from RNAcentral.
UACAGAGGGUGCAAGCGUUGUUCGGAAUUAUUGGGCGUAAAGCGCGUGUAGGCGGUCGGGCAAGUCGGAUGUGAAAGCCCAGGGCUCAACCCUGGAAGUGCACUCGAUACUGCUCGGCUAGAGUCCCGGAGAGGAUGGUGGAACUCUCGGUGUAGAGGUGAAAUUCGUAGAUAUCGAGAAGAACACCGGUGGCGAAGGCGGCCAUCUGGACGGUGACUGACGCUGAGACGCGAAAGCGUGGGGAGCAAACAGG